UGAAAUACUCUCCGAAAACUCUUGGAGACUUUAUUUUAAUUUUCUCAACCCCUCCUUUGCCACUGACCAGUGGGUCUCCUGGAUAAGUCGAGCUCCGUCAUCUCCAAGGGACACGCGCCCGCUUCCUGCCCGGCUGUCUCUUGAUCUUUCUCCUCCCCCUCUGCUACCUCACUCCUCACUCUUUUCUUCCCCGCCUGGAUCCCCUUUCUCAUCAAGCUCGCCGGCCACGCCGCCGCUUGCCGUUGCAACGCCAGCCGCAGGGACCGGCGGGAUCCGCCAGCCGUCGGUCCGGAUCGACAUCCACGCCUCUGGCUCCGACAUGCACACCUGCUAGACAUCGCCGUGAACCACCUCGUUUCUCCGGAACCUCUUGAACCAAGGCUGCCUUUCUCGGUUCCAUCGGCCGCGGCGGUCAUCCUCCUCCCUGAGCAACUACAGGGACCGUGACGGGCUCUGCUUCUGGACAACGGACUCGAAGGCGCGGGUCCCUCCUAAUUCUUCCUCGACCGCUGACCGCCAUUGACGCUGUUCGUCCUCUCGCCUCCCUGAUCCAUCCGACCCGGCCGCCAUGAACAGCAAGGACAUUCAUGAGGGUUUGAAUUUUUCUGCUGCUGACGAUGAAUCCUACUUUGGAAUCCUUUCAAUAAAGUUUUCAAAAGAUGGCCGUGAACUUGUUGUCGGAAACAGCAAUGAGUCAAUAUGUAUUUAUGAUCUUUGAGCAAACAAAGUGACAGAGCGAAUUCAUGCUCAUGUGGUAUGAAAGUCAAAUGCACUCUUUCUUUUGUUGCUUCCAUAACCUGUCCUUACAAUGUACGCAACACUGUUUGGUGAUAGACAUAUCUUCUUAGGUCAUAUUGGGAUGUACUUCUAAAAUCAUUUCAAGUAUCUAAUGUGAGCAUUGGUACUGUUUGCAUGCAAAGAAAAUUAAAGGAGUUUGUUUGUAAGAUUCUAGUCUGCUGUCAAUAGAGAUGCACUUACAUUAUUAGUAAAAAAAAGCACUUACAUUGCAUAUUCUACAUGCUUUUGUACUGCAUCCUCUAAUGGUUCGUUAUGACUGAAGUAAUCAUCCACAUGAAGCAUGGUGUUGCUUUAGGCAUAGCAGAUUGAAGUAAUGAACCACGGAAAGCAAUAGUUCUUGGUGGUGCUUUAAGCAUAGCAGUUUGGAUAGAUACCGAUAGCAUGCUAGAAGUUCUGUCUUGUAGAGUACGGAACUGAAAUAAAAUUUGUCUUUGUAGGAGUCUCACAGUGUAGUGUAGUAUCACAUAAACACCUAACGCCUCUAAGAGGUAUUUCCAAACGAGAAGCCAAAAGGAAAAUGUCAAACAGUUUGUGGCGUGCCAACACUAUUCAAGGUGUUUGGCUUUGUUCUUGAAAAAAAAGGUGUUUGGCUUGCUGCAUAACUGCAGAGUGAUGGUAUAUGGUGAAAGAAAACACUGUAAAUGUUAGAACCACUAAGAUUAGACGACAAGUAAAUGUAUAAAUAUCAGUAAAACGAAUCACUACGUCAGCUGAAGCAGCAGUUGUGUUGGUAGUCCUGUGCAGGCUGGAAGUUGUCUCCUUCGGGCCUGCAUUAUUUGGCCUACGGAUACAUGAAUAUAUCCUCUGUAUUUAGUUUAUUCCUCUACCUCACGCUGAGCUUGGAGCCAAAGACCUCAUGUGCUGCGAACUUCAUAACAGAGGAGAUUGGAAGAUGGAGAAGAAAGGGACAAGGGAGAGGUUCGAUUGGUUUGGUGCCUUUUUUAGAUCGAUGAGCGCCUAUGCCUGGCCGGUGAGGUCAUGGCCUCGACGGAGAUAGGAAGGAUGGAUAGGGAGAGGCGGCCCUCAGCCACGGCCGCCCACGCCCAGCCUCGAUCCCCUAUGGAUCGGGAUCGGGAGAGCCAGCGCCUGAUCCCUGCCUCGCCUCGCCACCUCGACGUUGGCGAGCCCCACCAGAACCAGCUUCCCAAGCGCUGCCCUGCCUUCCUCCUCUUCAUCUCCUUUCUCUCAUUCCUCUCGUUUUCCCCUUCCUCCAUCCCGUGCUCUCUCUUAUCUCUCUCUCUCUCUCUCUUUGUUCGAACAGGAGGUACUCAGCCGCCCCAGCCGAGCCUAGUUAACCUUCCGUUGAGAUGGACGGCGGCGCGGAGGAGACAGUGAGGUCGCCGGCAAGUGCAACGACGACCGACUGGCGGAGGCUUUGGUCGAGUGGCGAGCGAGAGCCCUCCCGGGCGGCGCACAGCGAGGAGCUCGGGCGCGCAGAGGAGAGGAGGAUCUGAGGCUUAACGGUGGUGCAGUGCUGCGUUCGCCAGCGCGGCUCCGGAUCGAGCGUCGCGCGGGGUGGAGCGCCUCCUUGGCGGCUGGGAUCGGGAGGUGAGGGAGAGAGAGGAGAGCCCAUCCUGGGCCGCGGGUUGAAUACCGCAAAUUACAGGGAUUUAUUUGUAAAGUUGUCGAACGAAACGUUUUUCCCUUCAGAAGAGGAGUGCGGAUUGAAUAUGAAGAAUUAC
Triticum dicoccoides is the source of this 2480-nucleotide long non-coding RNA. RefSeq lists it as uncharacterized. The transcript is spliced from 4 exons. The record is from RefSeq and is a predicted model, not a curated record. Lineage: Eukaryota; Viridiplantae; Streptophyta; Magnoliopsida; Poales; Poaceae.